This 626-nucleotide ribosomal RNA is filed under the name Euwallacea fornicatus. RNAcentral's name for it is "eukaryotic LSU rRNA". It matches the Rfam family "Eukaryotic large subunit ribosomal RNA", at positions 314 to 628 of the family's 3401-position model. The record is from RNAcentral. Lineage: Eukaryota; Metazoa; Arthropoda; Insecta; Coleoptera; Curculionidae.
GGCUAAAUACGACCACGAGACCGAUAGCGAACAAGUACCGUGAGGGAAAGUUGAAAAGCACUUUGAAGAGAGAGUUCAAGAGUACGUGAAACCGUUUAGGGGUAAACCUGAGAAACCCGAAAGGUCGAAGGGAGAAAUUCAUUCGCGUCUCGAGGCAGGCGUCGGACGGGGUCGAGCGACGGAACGGGCGCGCGUUUUUCUUCGGAAUCGCGCGUUCGACUUCGCGCCCUCCGUCCGUUCGAACCGGCAGCGAACGCGUGCACUUUUCUCCUGGUAGGACGUCGCGAUCCGUCGGGCGUCGGUCUACGACUUGCGGCGGAGACCGUCCGUCGUUCUUCGGAACGUACGGCGCGGACCCGCUCGUUCCGGCCGACUCGCUCGACGGUACAAAUCGAGGUCUGGGGUCGCUGCUACUUUUAGUCUCGCGUUCGCGCGAGACGAAAAAGAGAGCGUUCGACUCGUCGCAAGCGCGUCACGUGCGUCGGCACGCGGACCCGGUGCCGCGUCCGAUCUCUGGCGACUGUUGGCGACGAUUAGUUCUCGAACAGACUUCCCUCUCGGGGGUGGGGGGAGAGAGGGGUCAAACUCUUUCUCUCUCUCUCUCUCUCGAAGACCGAUCGGCGACG